AGCAUGCAUGAGGCCCUAAAUUUGAUCCCCAGCACAACAAAAAAUAAAAGAAAGUUAAAAUUAAAAAAAAAAAAGUUGGUGUCACCUGUCCAUCGGUUGGUGGAGCUAUCUGUCUGGUUAAUUCUAAUAAUAAAUGUGACCUUGGCUUGCUAACCAGUUUUGUCCCUCCCAGUCAGUCAGCAUCCCCCAACUUCUUAGAGGGACAAACAGCAUUCAUCUACCCAAAACUAAACAACAGCAGAUCUGUGAUGCCCUUAGCUGUCCAAGGUUGCACGCACUCUACACUGAUGGGUUCAGCAUGUACCUACCUAUGCCAGCAGGCUGCAGUAACACCCAGUGCCAAAAAUACCCAGUAAUCUGUUGAGCCUCAUUUGUAAUGGGAAUUGGGGAUUGCAAUUAUUCCCCAUGAAGGAAGAACUCCCGGGAAAUGUGGGUCAUAAGCUUGUGUUGAUUGAGUCCC
RNAcentral lists this ribosomal RNA (460 nucleotides) under Marmota monax (woodchuck). RNAcentral describes it as "Eukaryotic small subunit ribosomal RNA". It matches the Rfam family "Eukaryotic small subunit ribosomal RNA", at positions 1236 to 1653 of the family's 1831-position model. The record is from Rfam by way of RNAcentral. Lineage: Eukaryota; Metazoa; Chordata; Mammalia; Rodentia; Sciuridae.